GGGUCCGUAGUCUAAUGGUAGGACGCCGCUCUCACACAGCGGAGAAUUGGGUUCAAUUCCCAACGGACCCA
Molecule: transfer RNA, 71 nt
Rfam family: tRNA
About the family: Transfer RNA (tRNA) molecules are approximately 80 nucleotides in length. Their secondary structure includes four short double-helical elements and three loops (D, anti-codon, and T loops).